GAUCCUGGCUCAGGACGAACGCUGGCGGCGUGCCUAACACAUGCAAGUCGAACGAAGCACUGUGGAUAGAGACUUCGGUCAAUUGAAGCUUUGACUUAGUGGCGGACGGGUGAGUAACGCGUGAGGAACCUGCCUUUCAGAGGGGGACAACAGUUGGAAACGACUGCUAAUACCGCAUGAAGCAGCGAGAUCGCAUGGUCUUGCUGCCAAAGAUUUAUCGCUGAAAGAUGG
RNAcentral lists this ribosomal RNA (231 nucleotides) under uncultured bacterium. RNAcentral's name for it is "partial 16S ribosomal RNA". It matches the Rfam family "Bacterial small subunit ribosomal RNA", at positions 15 to 228 of the family's 1533-position model. The record is from RNAcentral.